AUCCAACGAAAGAUGCAGACUAAAGACAGCAGGAAUCAGCCAAGUCAACGGUAUGGAAGGUCGCCUCGGGCUUUUCCUCUUAUUCUUUUUCUCCCUUUCUCUUUGCCGUCACGUUGAAGACUCUAUAAAAAAAAUCAUGAAUUGUCAAACGGAAAACAGAGCAGUUUUCAUUGCUUCCUCUGACUUUUUUUUCUUUCUUUUCUAUAGAAUAAUUAGUUUUUGUGUCCCGCUUUUCUUUGCAUAUUUUUAGCUUUACAAAAGUUCAGACUUGUUUUCUCGUUCUCUUUUCAUCAUAUUUCUCUCCACCGAUUCUUGUGCAAACUGACAAAGAAGAAUCCCUCUGAUGGCUUUCCUGGUUGUGAGCAGAAGGGAUUAAUUUCGAUUCCGGGGUGGUUGUGUUUCUGCUUUUGAAGCUUUUCAUCUUGCAGUUUCAUAAUUCUGAGACGUGGGUUUCCAGGUGGAUUACGGUCUGGAGUUUGUGUGGAUGACGAAAAGUCAGCUUAAGAAGUUGUAGUCGUUGCUUGUUGUUGGCUUUUUCCCAUGGAUAGGCUUUGCUGCUUCAAUUCUCCUACCCCUCAGGUAACAGACAUUAAUUGAUAAUCUUUAUUUCUAAUUUUGAUGGCUUAUCUUCUCAAAUCCCAAUUGUACUGGUGGAAACUAACACAAAAGGAUACUGAUUCUAUUAGAUCACCCUUAAUUCCUAUAUGAUGGCAUGGUGUUAAGUGCCUUUGAUUUAUAAGCUCUGGGAGAUUUCACUUGACUUGUGAAUGAAA
This 773-nucleotide long non-coding RNA is filed under the name Eucalyptus grandis. RNAcentral's name for it is "long non-coding RNA (EGRA_LNC007255)". The record is from RNAcentral. Lineage: Eukaryota; Viridiplantae; Streptophyta; Magnoliopsida; Myrtales; Myrtaceae.